AUGGUAGGGCAAUAUUUGGCUAGAUGGAUGUACAAGAAAAAUAUUCCUUUCAAUGCUGUCAAUGAUGAUGACUUCAAGCAGUUUUGUGAAGCCCUUGGUCGGUUUGGUCCUAAAUGGAAGCCACCUUCCCAAUAUAUGCUCCGAGAGAAGAUGUUGCUGCAAGAGGUGGAAAGAACAAAGGAUUUGAUGAAGCCACAUGAGCUUGAGAGGGUGGAAACCGGGUGCUCUAUCAUGACCGAUGCUUGGACCGACAAGAAAAGAAGACGUAUAAUGAAUUUGUGUGUGCAUUGCAAGUUAGGGACCGCCUUUCUUGAAUCAAAGGAGGCGUCGACUGAUGCACACACAAUUCUAUACAUCUUCAAUUAUGUAGUUGAGUGCAUUGAGAAAAUUGGUGCUGAAAAUGUUGUGCAAGUGGUCAAGGACAAUGCUUCCAACAACAUGGGAGCAAAGGAGAUGCUCAAAGGAAAAUGGCCAAAAAUCUUUUGGAGCUCAUGUGCAACUCACACCCUCAAUUUGAUGGUAGAAGCAAUUGGGGAGCUGAAGCAAUUUGGCCCUACAAUCAUCAAAGCUAAGCAAAUGACGAUUUUUCUUUAUGCACAUCAUAAAACAUUGUCCUUGAUGAGGUCUUUCAUGAAAAAAAGAGACACUGUUACACCGGGGGUGACACGAUUUUCUUCGGCAUUUAUUACGUUGCAAAGUUUGGUUUCUAAAAAGAAAGAAGGGCAAUGGUUUGUAGUGAUGAAUGGGAAGCAUGCAAGCACACGAAAACGGUGA
This 774-nucleotide ribosomal RNA is filed under the name Triticum aestivum (bread wheat). Its description in RNAcentral is "partial small subunit ribosomal RNA". The record is from RNAcentral. Lineage: Eukaryota; Viridiplantae; Streptophyta; Magnoliopsida; Poales; Poaceae.